This 496-nucleotide ribosomal RNA is filed under the name uncultured bacterium. RNAcentral's name for it is "partial 16S ribosomal RNA". It matches the Rfam family "Bacterial small subunit ribosomal RNA", at positions 28 to 523 of the family's 1533-position model. The record is from RNAcentral.
GAUGAACGCUAGCGGCAGGCUUAACACAUGCAAGUCGAGGGGUAGAGGUUGCUUGCAACCUUGAGACCGGCGCACGGGUGCGUAACGCGUAUGCAACCUACCUUUUACAGAGGGAUAGCCCAGAGAAAUUUGGAUUAAUACCUCAUAGUAUAUAACCUUCGCAUGUUGGUUAUAUUAAAGUUCCAACGGUAAAAGAUGGGCAUGCGUCCUAUUAGCUAGAUGGUAAGGUAACGGCUUACCAUGGCAACGAUAGGUAGGGGUCCUGAGAGGGAGAUCCCCCACACUAGUACUGAGACACGGACCAGACGCCUACGGGAGGCAGCAGUGAGGAAUAUUGGACAAUGGGCGCAAGCCUGAUCCAGCCAUGCCGCGUGCAGGAAGAAGCAUCUAUGGUGUGUAAACUGCUUUUGUACAGGAAGAAACACCCCGACGUGUCGGGGCUUGACGGUACUGUAAGAAUAAGGGUCGGCUAACUCCGUGCCAGCCGCCGCCGUAA